Papilio xuthus (Asian swallowtail) is the source of this 589-nucleotide long non-coding RNA. RefSeq lists it as uncharacterized. The record is from RefSeq and is a predicted model, not a curated record. NCBI's taxonomy places the organism in Eukaryota, Metazoa, Arthropoda, Insecta, Lepidoptera, Papilionidae. The transcript is spliced from 3 exons.
CAUAUUGCGUCUUGCGCGUUCGACUAGUUUUUAUUAAAAAUUAUAGCAUUUUCCGGUAGAAGAAAAUUUAUGAAUUUCUUCUUUUAUACGGUGUUAUUUUUUGGAUCCAAAAUAUUUGCUGCGAUUGUGAUGUAUAAAUAUGCACAACGUAGGCCAUUGCGCGUGUCGUCUAUGGUGCAACAAGUCACUAGGAACUAGGAAGAAUACCAAAGCUAUAUAUCUAUAGAAGAAGUCAGAAGUAGAACCGUAUGAAAAUAAAAAGUUAUUGAUGAAAUUGUAGACGUUUGAUGCGGACGUUUCAAGCAUAUUUUAUCCGCAUCUAUACUAGAACAUCAGAAAAUAAUGGUGCGUUUUAGUGUGCACAAUUUCACAUUUAAGUGCGCAUGCGGGUUUCAUGACGACCACGUGGUUAAUCCUGAAAAGUUACUAGGACCUCAUGGAAGAUAAAAAGGUUGCUUUAAAGGCAGAAUAUUUGCGUCAACCGAGUAAACUGCGUUUGGUAUCACGCUGUACUGUUAAGAUUACUUUCAGAGUAGCUGAACACAAGCCCGAUGCAAUGUAUUGAGAUCGUAAGGAAAACAUAUUAAAA